Long non-coding RNA from Hyla sarda, 1285 nucleotides. RefSeq lists it as uncharacterized. The record is from RefSeq and is a predicted model, not a curated record. The transcript has 4 exons. Lineage: Eukaryota; Metazoa; Chordata; Amphibia; Anura; Hylidae.
GAAAAAUCCCUCCACUUUUUCUCUCACACAGUUUGAUAAAUCUGGGCCACAGUGCCCCAAAUGGAGCCGCCCUUACUUGGUGUCCAAAGGAGCAGCUAACCCUGGCACAGGUGCAAAUUUGAUGGAUUUUCUGGAUAAACAUUGGAGGACAACUCACACAGGAUGUAGAUAGAGGGGAGAGCAGAUACAAAGCAGUCUGCAGAAAAGAAUUGGCAGUGUACAAGUAUAGAGAGAAAAUAAAGCUCAUGCAGAAAACAUAAAAUCUAGACUAUGGGAAGAAGUAACAGCAGAAUCACUAUUUGAUCCUCAGUGAAGUGGCUCAGAUGCCAGGCAUGCCAUCUCUGUUUAUUUUUGAAUUGCUAAAUAAAAGCUAAAAACAUCCUUUUUCCACGACAGAUCUAUUUCCACAAAGCUGUGUCACUUGAGAAAAACAAGUGCUGUGGUCUUAGGUGAAUUCGUAGUUAGCAGUUAGAGGAAGUGCUUAGUUUCUGUUAUAUCACAGUUUCCAUGAGUAUCUGCAAGCAAAUGAGAUAUGACUGAAGCAAUGGAGAACAAUAUCACAGUGCAAAAAAAAACCAGAUGGAAUCUGAAGUAACCAUUGAAGCCUCAACGCUGUGAAUAGAUUUUAUUGCAUGUCAAGGAACUUGUUUAAUCGGAGCCUUUACAACCUAGGUGCACUUUAAUUGCUGUGCAUUUCCUUGUAGUUGGUAUGUGUACUGCUGCUGACAGACUGGCCUAAUGUGCUGCUUCAUGUCUCACUUAUAUCUCGCUGUGAAAAUUGGAAGAUUGCAGACUUGUAGGCUGAUUGGUAUAGCUAUCGAGCACCGCUAUUUGCUUUUCUACACUGAGGAUUGAUUGGUUGAAUUUGCCUUACUGUGCCUAUUUGUUUCUAAUUUUAGUAUGGUUUUUUUUAUGCUGCUAAUUGAUUUUUCCAACUGUGAAACCUAUGGUUAAUAUUUGACUUAUGAAAAAGUCUGAGUUUAAAACUAUACUUUAUUUGGUCAUAUUUAGGCUCCCAUUUUAAUGACUCUCCUGUACAGUACAGAUCUUUUAUGUGUUUGUGUAGACAGAAAAACUAUUAAUGUGCAUCGUGUCACAUAAAAGAAGCAUAUUUAACCCCUCUUUUUCUUCUGCCUCUGUUCAUUUUAUUUCUCUACUUCCGUUGCUUUCCUUUUUCGAGUGUUAUAGAAUUUUUUCUUCAUACAAUCAAUGCUCCCUUAUGUUAUUCUCUGAACUUUUUUUAAUAUCUUAAAGCAGUGUUUCCCAACCCAGUCCUCAAGGCACA